Non-coding RNA from Coffea arabica (coffee), 534 nucleotides. NCBI's taxonomy places the organism in Eukaryota, Viridiplantae, Streptophyta, Magnoliopsida, Gentianales, Rubiaceae. The record is from RefSeq and is a predicted model, not a curated record.
UUUCCAUUACUUAUUCAGGAGCUGAUUACUUUUAUUGAGCUUAUUAAGAAUCCUAGGUACAACUUCUGGAGCCGUACUUUCACUAGAUGUGCACCAGAGAUUGAGAAUCUCCACGGACAAGGAGGUAAAAUUUUCAUUUUAGCAAGUUUUUUCCUUUUUAAUUUUUCUAACGGGUAAAAGGUGGAAUUUUUCCCCAAGGCCUUAACUUUUAAAGGCUGCACAACUGGAGAGAGCUUUCUUGUGUAUAAAAUACAAAGCUUAUGUUAUAUCACACCUAAUCUAAACUACUACAACAGUUAGAGUUUGCAAUUCGAAGCUCAGAUUUCGUCCCCUUAUCAAUUCAGGAUAACAAAUUUCCUAGUCGAUCUUGGCCCAUUUUAAUGCCAGAUACACAGAGCCAAAAACAGAGGAGCACUUACCUAAGCGAGCCAGAGAUGAGCAGUGAUGAACCAGCGAUGAACCAGUGAGAUCUUGGUGCUUCGUCUUCGACACUCGGCAGCGAUGAACCAGCACGGCAGGACACAGCCGACAGGA